This 319-nucleotide ribosomal RNA is filed under the name uncultured Pseudomonadota bacterium. RNAcentral describes it as "bacterial SSU rRNA". It matches the Rfam family "Bacterial small subunit ribosomal RNA", at positions 30 to 351 of the family's 1533-position model. Lineage: Bacteria; Pseudomonadati; Pseudomonadota. The record is from RNAcentral.
AUUGAACGCUGGCGGCAUGCUUUACACAUGCAAGUCGAACGGUAACAGGCCGCAAGGUGCUGACGAGUGGCGAACGGGUGAGUAAUGCAUCGGAACGUGCCCAGUCGUGGGGGAUAACGCAGCGAAAGCUGCGCUAAUACCGCAUACGAUCUAUGGAUGAAAGCGGGGGACCGUAAGGCCUCGCGCGAUUGGAGCGGCCGAUGUCAGAUUAGGUAGUUGGUGGGGUAAAGGCUCACCAAGCCAACGAUCUGUAGCUGGUCUGAGAGGACGACCAGCCACACUGGGACUGAGACACGGCCCAGACUCCUACGGGUGGCAG